AGAGAUAGAGGUGCGUUUUUCAUCAGUAGCUUAUAGGAGAUAUUGAGGUGUCGCUGAAUAUGAGCAAAAGGGGAAAAUGCCGAAGGUCUGCUUUGCCUCAAUGGGGCAGGUCUGGUUGCAUCGGCUAACAGCCCUGUGACUGUCAUCGCAGGUAUGUGCGGUGGAGAGCUAUCCGG
This 176-nucleotide non-coding RNA is filed under the name human gut metagenome. RNAcentral's name for it is "Lysine riboswitch". It matches the Rfam family "Lysine riboswitch aptamer". From Rfam's summary of the family: Riboswitches are metabolite binding domains within certain messenger RNAs that serve as precision sensors for their corresponding targets. Allosteric rearrangement of mRNA structure is mediated by ligand binding, and this results in modulation of gene expression. The record is from RNAcentral.